AGUUUGGAUCCUGGCUCAGAACGAACGCUGGCGGCGUGCUUAACACAUGCAAGUCGAACGUGAAUCACCCUUCGGGGUGAGGAAAGUGGCGCACGGGUGAGUAACACGUGGAUAAUCUACCCGAUGAUCUGGGAUAACAUCUCGAAAGGGGUGCUAAUACCGGAUAAGCCCACGGGCUCUUCGGAGCUUGCGGGAAAAGGUGGGGAACCUUCGGGUCUACCGCAACGGAUGAGUCGCGUCCUUAGCUAUUGGGGGAAUGCCUCCAGACGAGGUCUGUUGAAGAUAUACCCCUGACUAACGGCAAUCCGAGGACAUGGAUUUNCAUGCAANUNCCCACCCNUANAUAAGUUGNCNAANUUGAAGAAACUCGUAANUAUGNUGCGCCUAAGAACGUAUCNCCCGCGGAUCAAGCAUCUACGA
RNAcentral lists this ribosomal RNA (420 nucleotides) under uncultured delta proteobacterium. Its description in RNAcentral is "partial 16S ribosomal RNA". It matches the Rfam family "Bacterial small subunit ribosomal RNA", at positions 10 to 283 of the family's 1533-position model. The record is from RNAcentral. Lineage: Bacteria; Deltaproteobacteria.